UUGGAGGGCAAGUCUGGUGCCAGCAGCCGCGGUAAUUCCAGCUCCAAUAGCGUAUAUUAAAGUUGUUGCAGUUAAAAAGCUCGUAGUUGAAUUUCGGGGUCAGUAGGUUGGUCAUGCCACUGGUAUGUACUGGUCUCACUGAUUCCUCCUUCCUGAUGAACUGUAAUGCCAUUAAUUUGGUGUUGCAGGGAAUCUGGACUGUUACUUUGAAAAAAUUAGAGUGUUUAAAGCAGGCUAACGCCUGAAUACAUUAGCAUGGAAUAAUGAAAUAGGACGUUCGAUCCUAUUUUGUUGGUUUCUAGGAUUGACGUAAUGAUUAAUAGGGAUAGUUGGGGGCAUUAGUAUUCAAUUGUCAGAGGUGAAAUUCUUGGAUUUAUUGAAGACUAACUACUGCGAAAGCGUUUGCCAAGGAUGUUUUCAUUAAUCAAGAACGAAAGUUAGGGGAUCGAAGACGAUCAGAUACCGUCGUAGUCUUAACCAUAAACUAUGCCGACUAGGGAUCGGAUGAUGUUAAUUUUUUAAUGACUCAUUCGGCGCCUUACGGGAAAC
RNAcentral lists this ribosomal RNA (549 nucleotides) under uncultured Glomeromycotina. RNAcentral describes it as "SSU rRNA". It matches the Rfam family "Eukaryotic small subunit ribosomal RNA", at positions 548 to 1098 of the family's 1831-position model. Lineage: Eukaryota; Fungi; Glomeromycota. The record is from RNAcentral.